This 745-nucleotide unclassified non-coding RNA is filed under the name Hevea brasiliensis (rubber tree). The record is from RNAcentral. Lineage: Eukaryota; Viridiplantae; Streptophyta; Magnoliopsida; Malpighiales; Euphorbiaceae.
GGAAAAAAAAAAAAGAAGUACCCCCCAUCAUGGUGAACCUCUCCUUGUGAUCGGGAUGAGGUAAAUGCCUCCCAGCCGGGGGGCGGAUCGAAUCGGAGUUUCCUUAGGUAGCCACCGACCUACAGUUAUCCUUAAACUUCCGUGCUUGGUGGAGAAGAAGCGAACAAAGGUACGCUCGCUUGCUGUCUUGUUCUCUGCCGCGAACUGGGAUCGCUCGCCAGCUAGGUCAGAUUGGAGCAACAUUUUUUGAGAACAUAUUACCCAUCUUCGGGGACAAGGGGCGGAACGACCUCUCGAUCUACUUACUGCAGCCCAGGAAUAAAAACGUCCGUCUAGGCGUUCCCUCUUGCUCCGAUCCCCCCUACGCCUAGGACGUUGUCUGGGCCAAGAGCCAUAGUUAGUUGCUGUUUUCAUUUGGUUGUUUUUUUCUCGUUGUUGAUACCGGCAAGACCCAGCCAGAUGAUGUCUACUGGUUGGUAGUGAGAGGACUCUUAGUAUCUGCAUACCCAAAAGGGGACGCUGAUUAAAAAACAAUCAUUUUAUUUUUUUUCUUGCUCUCCCUUAGCAGCGGGAAAGGAGUCUAUCUAUCUGCCUAGCUUUGGUAGAUUUCCCCCAACACAAUCCACAGAAAUUCCACGAAUCCCUUGGUGGAUAAGUCCGACGACUCAGCAGCAGUGCGGAAUUGAGUUUCUCGUCCGGUGGAUCUGAUCUAUAGUUAGGGGGCAAUACAUACCAAAAGGUUCGA